This 506-nucleotide ribosomal RNA is filed under the name uncultured bacterium. RNAcentral's name for it is "partial 16S ribosomal RNA". It matches the Rfam family "Bacterial small subunit ribosomal RNA", at positions 30 to 523 of the family's 1533-position model. The record is from RNAcentral.
AUUGAACGCUGGCGGUAUGCUUAACACCUGCAAGUCGAACGGCAGCAUGGUCUAGCUUGCUAGACUGAUAGCGCGUGGCGGACGGGUGAGUAACGCGCAGGAAUAUGCCUUGAAGAGUGGGACAACUUGGGGACACUCAAGCUAAUACUGCAUGUACUCGAGAGAGUAAAGCUGGGGACCUUUAGGCCUGGCGCUGUAGUCUUAGCCUGCGUCCGAUUAGCUAGUUGGUAGGGUAAAGGCCUACCAAUGCGCCGAUCGGUAGCUGGUCUGAGAGGAUGAUCAGCCACACUGGAACUGAGAGACGGUCCAGACUCCUACGGGAGGCAGCAGUGGGGAAUAUUGGACAAUGGGGGGAACCCUGAUCCAGCAAUGCCGCGUGUGGGAAGAAGGCCUGAGGGUUGUAAAGCACUUUCAGUGGGGAGGAGGUUUGGAAGGUUAAGAGCUAUUCAAAUGGACGUUACCCACAGAAGAAGCACCGGCUAACUCCGUGCCAGCCGCCGCCGUAA